This 1059-nucleotide long non-coding RNA is filed under the name Callithrix jacchus (white-tufted-ear marmoset). Its description in RNAcentral is "lncRNA (ENSCJAG00000086298.1)". Lineage: Eukaryota; Metazoa; Chordata; Mammalia; Primates; Cebidae. The record is from RNAcentral.
CUUUGAUAGGAGCAUGCUGUAGUUCUGGUCCCCUGACCAGGGUUAGGUGUGUGCUUAUGGCUUAAACAAGCAGAUGAAGAGGUGAGAGUGAGGAUUUCAGCCUGACCAGCAUUCAUACACUCAAAAGAUGUUUACUGAGCGCCUGCAUGCACCAGGUGCUGUGCUGAGUCCAGAACAGCGGCCUAGGCAGGAGCACCAACUCUGCCCUCUAAUGGAGGUACUGCAGGAAAUGUAAGUGAGCCAACCCGUGAAAUGACUGCACGCUGUCAAAUGCAAAUAAGAAAUCGAGCUACAGCAUUGGUGUGUGUGUGUGUGUGUGUGUGUGUGUGUGUGUGUGUGUGUGUGUGGUGGGGAGGGAAUACUUGUGAAAGGCAGAUCAAGAUGCCUUCUUGGGGAGGGGACAGUGAAGCUGAGACCCAGUGGACUGUUGGAGCCACAUGUGGUAAGGGAGGGGCUGUCCUGGCAGAGGGAGGAGGGUGAGAUGGGGAAGGCUGGGCCUGUCCUCAAGGUGGAAGGAAGCCUCAGUGAGCAAAGAGUAGGAGGAAGCUGGACCUCGAUUGUCUUGGGCUUUGGGCCUUGUGCCUCGGGCAGGCGUUUAGAUUUUAUUUUAAGUACAAGGGGAAGCAAUUGCAGGGACUUAGGGUAGGGAUGACACCUGUGAUUUCUGUCUUGAGAUCACGUUUGCUGCUGCGUGGAGAAUGGAUUACAUGUUGGGUAAGAGUGGACACAGAGAGACCAGUUUUACACGACUGUCCUGUUCUGUAUCCAAGUGGAAAGCAUGAGGCCCUGGAUUGGGGAAGACAGAGAAGCCUACAGUGGGCACUGGGCAAUGAAUUAGGUACUACUGAUGACGGCAAGAGAUGCUACUUGAUGAUUUCUUUUUUUUUUUUUUUUGUGGCAAUUGUGAAUGGCAGUUCGUUCUUGAUUUGGCUCUCUUUAAGUCUGUUAUUGGUGUAUAGGAAUGCUUGUGAUUAUUUCUUAAUGAAGCCUGAAUUCCAUAGCACAGGAGUUAAAGCUGCUCUUCCGUGCUGUUUGCCAUGUUGCCCAGGUUGGUCUUGA